AUAGAGUUGUCCUUCACAGCACUCUGGAAAAAACAUGAGGACAAUUGACACCAAGACUUGUUACCUGUAUACCUACCCAUGUAUCUAUAUCUCAACUUCACAGACCUCACAACUCUUACAGACUUCUAAGAAGUUGUAAUUUUCCAAUGACAGUCUCUGCUCAUUUAUUUUCAACCGAGACCGCUUCAAUCUGGAGUUUUCCAGUACAGAGCUCCAAUACAAGCUUGAGAGACUGCAUGGCUGUACAGGGAUGCAGCAAAAGAUUGAGAGGAAAAGGGAGCACAAAUGUGCCUGCAGGAGGCAAAGUCCCUUGGCAAAGCUGCAAUUAAAUAUUAAAAGCUGAUGUUCAAAUGGAGAUGGUGUGAAUCAGAGAGCUGGCACUGAAGAGCGAGGAAGAUGAAGCCUUCUCCCUGCUUCUCCUAGUCUGUUGCUUGUUAUUGAGGUCUCAUUCUUCUUCAU
Long non-coding RNA from Colius striatus (speckled mousebird), 459 nucleotides. RefSeq lists it as uncharacterized. The transcript has 3 exons. NCBI's taxonomy places the organism in Eukaryota, Metazoa, Chordata, Aves, Coliiformes, Coliidae. The record is from RefSeq and is a predicted model, not a curated record.